Molecule: ribosomal RNA, 1312 nt
Filed under: Salmonella enterica
Lineage: Bacteria; Pseudomonadati; Pseudomonadota; Gammaproteobacteria; Enterobacterales; Enterobacteriaceae
Description: partial 23S ribosomal RNA
Rfam family: Bacterial large subunit ribosomal RNA
Source: RNAcentral
GAAGCUGCGGCAGCGAACGUAUCACCCAAGACAACUUUACGGAGUUGACGAUUGACGGAGCGAAGCGACGUCAAAGCGUUCAUUAAAGUCGAGUUGGCUUAGGGAUACGUUCGUUGGGUAGGGGAGCGUUCUGUAAGCCUGUGAAGGUGUGUCGUGAGGCAUGCUGGAGGUAUCAGAAGUGCGAAUGCUGACAUAAGUAACGAUAAAGCGGGUGAAAAGCCCGCUCGCCGGAAGACCAAGGGUUCCUGUCCAACGUUAAUCGGGGCAGGGUGAGUCGACCCCUAAGGCGAGGCCGAAAGGCGUAGUCGAUGGGAAACGGGUUAAUAUUCCCGUACUUGGUGUUACUGCGAAGGGGGGACGGAGAAGGCUAUGUUGGCCGGGCGACGGUUGUCCCGGUUUAAGCGUGUAGGUGUGUGUUCCAGGUAAAUCCGGUUCACUUUAACACUGAGGCGUGACGACGAGGCACUACGGUGCUGAAGCAACAAAUGCCCUGCUUCCAGGAAAAGCCUCUAAGCAUCAGGUAACAUCAAAUCGUACCCCAAACCGACACAGGUGGUCAGGUAGAGAAUACCAAGGCGCUUGAGAGAACUCGGGUGAAGGAACUAGGCAAAAUGGUGCCGUAACUUCGGGAGAAGGCACGCUGACACGUAGGUGAAGUGAUUUACUCAUGGAGCUGAAGUCAGUCGAAGAUACCAGCUGGCUGCAACUGUUUAUUAAAAACACAGCACUGUGCAAACACGAAAGUGGACGUAUACGGUGUGACGCCUGCCCGGUGCCGGAAGGUUAAUUGAUGGGGUCAGCGCAAGCGAAGCUCCUGAUCGAAGCCCCGGUAAACGGCGGCCGUAACUAUAACGGUCCUAAGGUAGCGAAAUUCCUUGUCGGGUAAGUUCCGACCUGCACGAAUGGCGUAAUGAUGGCCAGGCUGUCUCCACCCGAGACUCAGUGAAAUUGAACUCGCUGUGAAGAUGCAGUGUACCCGCGGCAAGACGGAAAGACCCCGUGAACCUUUACUAUAGCUUGACACUGAACAUUGAGCCUUGAUGUGUAGGAUAGGUGGGAGGCUUUGAAGUGUGGACGCCAGUCUGCAUGGAGCCGACCUUGAAAUACCACCCUUUAAUGUUUGAUGUUCUAACGUGGACCCGUAAUCCGGGUUGCGGACAGUGUCUGGUGGGUAGUUUGACUGGGGCGGUCUCCUCCUAAAGAGUAACGGAGGAGCACGAAGGUUGGCUAAUCCUGGUCGGACAUCAGGAGGUUAGUGCAAUGGCAUAAGCCAGCUUGACUGCGAGCGUGACGGCGCGAGCAGGUGCGAAAG